RNAcentral lists this ribosomal RNA (1017 nucleotides) under Globigerinoides ruber. RNAcentral's name for it is "SSU rRNA". It matches the Rfam family "Eukaryotic small subunit ribosomal RNA", at positions 1160 to 1828 of the family's 1831-position model. Lineage: Eukaryota; Foraminifera; Rotaliida; Globigerinidae. The record is from RNAcentral.
AAGGGCACCACAAGCGCGUGGAGCAUGUGGCUUAAUUUGACUCAACACGGGAAAUCUUACCGGGUCCGGACGUAUCGAGGAUUGACAGAUAGUUAUACAUGCCCUACAAGCAAGUAGGAGUCAGGUUUUAAACCUAAUGGCUCUUUCAUGAUUAUAUGAUAGGUGGUGCAUGGCCGUUCUUAGUUCGUGGAGUGAUCUGUCUGCUUAAUUGCGUUUCAAAUUUUUAACCGAGGACCGGGUUUUGGUUUGGCUAGUGGUCCUACGAUGACUGUGAACUGUCAUGUCUUCGGAUGUACGACUAUCGGUCUAGGAUCACAUGACUUGCCCCUGGGACUCUUUUGAACGCAACGGACGUGAUUGCAACCCCUUGUUGAGAUUAGAGAUAGUCUCGAUAUUCACUGGCCAAACUGGCUGCUUUAUGCAGUCUUGUUGAAUGGUGGAUAAACUCGGGGGACUGCUGACUAUAACCAUUUCUCAAAACAGAGGAAGGUUGCGGCAAUAACAGGUCUGUGAUGCCCUCAGAUGUCCCGGGCUGCACACGUGCUACAAUGAGUGGCGCAAUGUGCUAAUGUUUUAAGGGAUAAGCGUGCGGCCAGUAGAACGUCGGCAAUUGCCCUGGCGUCUUCUACCGCACGAUUAUCAGCCUUCCCUUAACAGGGCGGGCAACCUUUUCAAAAUACCGGUUUGAUGUUAAAGUAUAGAGUCGUUUUUUUUGGAUGGUGGUUUACGAACCAAUACCAUCCGCAACUGCUCGCGAGUUUGUGGUUCUGGUGACUCAUGGUGGGGACCGAUGUUUGUAAUUGUUUGUCGCGUGUCAACUAGGAAUGCCUUGUACUGUCGAUUCACUAAGUUAUUGGGAAUACGUCCCUGCCCUUUGUACACACCGCCCGUCGCUCUUACCGAUGGCUUUGUGUGUGAGUAAGACGGACAAUUAAGCUGGAAAUUUGUCGAAUGCAUUGGGCUAAAGGAAAGAGAAGUCGUAACAAGGCAUCAGUAGGUGAACCUGCUGAUGGAUCA